RNAcentral lists this ribosomal RNA (426 nucleotides) under uncultured bacterium. Its description in RNAcentral is "bacterial SSU rRNA". It matches the Rfam family "Bacterial small subunit ribosomal RNA", at positions 354 to 796 of the family's 1533-position model. The record is from RNAcentral.
GGAGGGAAUAUUGGUUAAUGGGCGAAAGCGCGAACCAGCAACGCCGCGUGCGCGAUGAAGGCCUUCGGGUUGUAAAGCGCUUUUUGAGGGAAUGAGAAAGGACAGUACCCUCAGAAUAAGCCUCGGCUAACUACGUGCCAGCAGCCGCGGUAAUACGUAGGAGGCAAGCGUUAUCCGGAUUCACUGGGCGUAAAGCGCGUGUAGGCGGUUCGGUAAGUUGGAUGUGAAAGCUCCCGGCUAAACUGGGAGAGGUCGUUCAAUACUGCCGGGCUAGAGGAUGGGAGAGGGAGGUGGAAUUCCGAGUGUAGUGGUGAAAUGCGUAGAUAUUCGGAGGAACACCAGUGGCGAAAGCGGCCUCCUGGCCCAUAUCUGACGCUCAGACGCGAAAGCUAGGGGAGCGAACGGGAUUAGAUACCCGUGUAGUCC